This 505-nucleotide ribosomal RNA is filed under the name uncultured bacterium. Its description in RNAcentral is "partial 16S ribosomal RNA". It matches the Rfam family "Bacterial small subunit ribosomal RNA", at positions 28 to 507 of the family's 1533-position model. The record is from RNAcentral.
GACGAACGCUGGCGGCGUGCCUAAUACAUGCAAGUAGAACGCACAGUUUAUACCGUAGCUUGCUACACCAUAAACUGUGAGUUGCGAACGGGUGAGUAACGCGUAGGUAACCUGCCUGGUAGCGGGGGAUAACUAUUGGAAACGAUAGCUAAUACCGCAUAAUAUUAAUUAUUGCAUGAUAAUUGAUUGAAAGAUGCAAUUGCAUCACUACCAGAUGGACCUGCGUUGUAUUAGCUAGUAGGUGAGGUAACGGCUCACCUAGGCGACGAUACAUAGCCGACCGGGGGGGGUGAUCGGCAACACGGGGACUGAGCCACGCCCCAGACUCCGAGGGGGGGAGGCAGUAGGAAUUCUGGGGAAAUGGAGAAAAGUCUGACCGAGCAACGCGGGGUGAGUGAAGAGGGUUUUGGGAUGGAAAAGCUUUGUUGAAAGAGAAGAGGGGGUGGGGGGGGGGAAAUUCCACCCUGGGAGGGUAUUUAACCAGAAGGGGACGGCAAACUAGGUG